CUUUGCUUGUCUAGUGAAUUUUUAUUAAAUAUAUUAUGAAUGUUAUAAUAAUGGGUGUUAAUUAUUAUUUUUCUCUAAGGAGGGCUUAAGUUUGUCUUGUUAGGCAAUUAAGUUACUUGCAAAUCAUAUUAAUGUAUUCAAAACUUAUUUUUAAGCUUUGUUAGGGUUGUCCAAAGUAGCCCUAACUCUAGGGCUAAUUAAGCGAAACUACCAACACAUGAUUCUCUAGGUUCUUUACCGACUUCCUUGAGGCUCAGUGGGGUUUCUCAGCUCUGGCUGGAAGGGAUUUGAGUAUCUCUUAACCUUGCUUAAACUCUAGGAGUUGUGCAGGUUACAGUUCCCGGAGUAUUUUUCCUGAGCAGUUACUAUUUGUGCAGCUUUGUGGAGUUUUGUUGUAUCCAUGCAUAGUUAAGGGGGCCUUUAUGCAUAUUUCUCUACAGAAAUUGUUACUCUCCAAUAAUUUGCCCUGCAAAUUCUGGCUGUCUCAUCCUCCCACAAGUUCAAUAUUUGUCUUUUCAGCUUAGCAACAUUUCUUUUGCAUUUCUUGGGAUCUUCCUCCCUUUGCCAUCUUCCAGAAAUUGUCUAUAGGCAGAAAGCAAGGGCAAUAGUAGGCUUCACCUCUGUUUUCCUUUUCUCAGUGAUCACAGUCCCACUCUGCCUGUUCUCUCAAUGUCUGAAAGAUUUGUUUUAUGUAUUUUGCCUAAGUUUCUAGUUAUUUGUGCUAAGUAGGCUGGUUUUGUACCAGAAGCAGAAAUCAACUAAAGAUGAAUUUUAGGGAAGAGUUCUGGAAUAUGCCUCAUUGGCCAGAACUGAAGCUAUCUAUACCUACAAAGGAGACUGGAAAUGCAGCUUCUUCUGGGAAAAUAAAACAAAGGAGAGCAGAUUUUGUGAAAGAGUGAGCAUUAUAUACCAUCAUUGGAUAGUUGUUAGCUCACUUACCAGCGUAGCAACUUCUUGAGUGGAGGGUCAGAGCUUUCCUCAUUUCAGUAGCCUAUGAAGAGCCUGGUGCUCAUGACGUUCUUAGGAAAAAAACAUUGAAAAGAACAUGAUCCUGAGUACUGAACUCAUAAUUAGGCAUGAAGAAAGGAGACAAUGUAUGGUGGGUGAAAGUGGCAGAGAGAGUUGGAGACAAGGUUGGAAAUUAUCUUGGAGCUCCAAAUGCAUUGGCUCAUAGAUUAUUUUAAAACUCUGUUGAGGAAUCCGGGACUACAGAGCCCUGUUGUUCCCCUCACCUCCAAUGUCCUUUUCCAGACACCCAUGUCAUGUGUUUUAAAGCUCAGAUCAUAGAUCAUAAGCGAGCUACUAGAUGGAGCCUUCUCUGAUGUCCUACUUGUGGCACAGUUUUUCUACAGCAUGGUUUCUGUCAAGUUUUCAAAGCAUAUAAUGAUUCAUACUGCUGAUUUCUACCCUCAAGAAAGUGGAAUCUAUUCGGAAUUUCAAAAUAAAAACAAAGUUGUCUUUUAUUUCUGUUACUUUUUUACUUCCGUCACAAUGCCUGCCACCGUGAACACAAAGCAUAUUAAAUAAGAUCACUGUUCCUUGACCUGGUGUCAAGCAGCUGUUUGGAAGUUGUUUGUGUGUCAGUUGAGACAUAAUAAUAGAAUAAGCAUCCUGACAUCACUUGCCCUCUGACCACCAGUAGUGAUAGGGCUUGCUUUACUCAAGGAGGAAGUCCUUAACAACUCGAUCUACCCAGGCAAACACAACAAUCAUUCAGCUUUUUGUUUCAUUUUUUCCUUAACCUAUCACCAUGAAACAAAAUACACACAUAUAGAAAUGAGCAAAGAGCUUUAAAUACUAGCUGCCCAAGAGAUGCUUAGCCUCCUGUUCCAGCCACUGGAGUUGAGGGGUGGAGGCACGUGAUGUCACGGAAAGGGAAUGCUCGCUAGUCUUCAAGCAGUCCCCUAAGGUAAGGCUGGAGGAAGGAGGUGGUGAAGAGGGCUCCUGAGUUCCUUCAUUUGACGGCGCUGAUCAUACAGGUACAGGUGGAACAGUAAGCUCAGAGCCAUUCCUUAGACCUAGAGACUGGCCUUUUCACCUAUAUAAAAUAAUACUGUGUAAUAUUAUUUCAAGUAGAGGUAGGAAAAUAACCCUUAGGAUUUAGUACCCUCGGCCUGGUGGGCGAGCAGAAAUAAAAGUUAAUUCCAAACAAAGACUUUAACUACCACAAUUCUGCCCAUGUUUCCCUCCAGGGAUCUUUGAUCUCAGGCUGAAUGGAGGAAGAAGAGCUUUUCUAGUUGACGCCUGUCACAGAGAUCUGAUGAAGUCAAUGUAAAUGAGUCCGCAGAAGCUUGAUAGCCUAUAGAAGUCCUUGAAAAUCCCGAAUGGCACGAGAAGGUUGAAAACUAGUCAAGAUGCUGAUAUCUUCAAGAAGUUAAAUAUAACCUAAAAAAAUUAUUUGUCACAGAAUAAGGUUGGUUUAAAAAAUUGUAAAGGGGAGGAGAGUGGAGAUUCAAGCCUAGAGAGGAAGGCUGAAUAAGAAGAAAGUAAUUGUGAAGUCAACUGUAAAAUAUUUCCUGGGUCUCACCUGGUAAAUCCACACGGGCUUCCUGAAAGAGGAAGGCUAGAGUUACUUUUGAGUUGCCUUUCAAAUGAUAAGCAGGGUCCUUGAGUAAACAGGAAAUGAAAGACUCGAGAGAGUAGCUGAGGAAGGAUGCAGAAGUGAAAAGGAGAGGGGAGCCAUCAGCACCCCAGAUUUAAUUUGAUGGAGAAUUUUCUCUAUUUGUUUAUGUGUGUGCCCGUCUUUAUUAGACUGUCUGUUUGCCUUUCAAGGGCUGGGACUGUGCCUCAUUCACCUUCAUAUUCUAGUAUAAUGCAAGCUUAGGAAAUUAUUGUCUAAAUACAUACACUCAGACAUAAAUGGAUGAGAGUAAGAAUAAAGGCAUAAGUGGUGGUAUUUAGCAGCAGCCUUGGCUGUGAGCUUAAGACUGUUUUUUGUGACCUGCCAUCUUCCUUUGCGCAACAACACAGCUCAUGAUGAUGUUCCAGAGCAUUUUGCCACCAGAAAAUGAGGCUUGCUUUUGGUCUUUUGAAGGAAGACUGCAGUGAACAGUUAAAUUGACUUUAAAUUUAGCAGCAUUGGGCAAGAAUAGAAAUGUUCUAAUCCUGUCUCCUCCUACGGAAUGUGAAUUGUGGUCAAAGUAAUAUGUUUUUGCCUUCUGUGAUUUCGAUCAAAUUUCAUAGGCCAGACAGGGCGUAGGGAGCCAGGCUGCACAGCCACUCUCCCUGGUAAACAGUGUCACACCUCCCUUGGACAGCCCAGGGUACCAUGUGUGCCCUGGCGUUACAGACACCUCACCAGGGCUUGUCUGUUCUCCCUGCCUUGUUUCUCAGCCCAGUGUUCAUGUGGAGUUUGGCUUCCUCUUCUUAGAACUGGGAAAGGCAACGCUGUGCAGGUGUGAGAGGUACAUACACAUGCGCCCAGAAGAUGCUGCCCCAGAAAAACAUACCCAGGGCCUGUAUUUGACUCAGAGUUUAAGGUCUUACUUUUCAUUAGAAAAUAAGAUCACUAGCUCUAAAAUUUCCACUGGGGAAGACUGGGUUGGCUUAGCAGGGCAGUGCUAUCUGAUGGGCAGCUGUAUUCUAUAAAGUAGAUGAGGGAAGAUGACAGAAUGGCAUGUCUGUGGGCAGAAAGCAGAAGGGAAAUUGGCUUCCCUUCAUAGGCCACUAAGGAAAGGGUUAUCCAGUGGCCUGCUGGAUUUGACACUAUCUGCCUGCCACAUCUGAGCUCAGCAUUUUUGCUUUGACACGCAUGGGUCAUUCUACCCAUUGAGCUUCAGCAAUUCCCUAUUACAGAUGCUUAUUGGCAACAGAAUCUUAAGUCCAAUAAAGGAGCAAAGAGAUUUUACUUUGGAAGGAAAUACUAUGGAUUCUUCAGUCAUUCAGAGGCCUCACCUCCUCCCUUAAUGAGUGCUCCCAAUGUAAAGGUAUAAUGACUGGCUAACUAAAUGCUUUGGGGGUAUAGGAAUGAGGACACACAUCUAGAAAAGUGGAUUUUAGAAGAAGAAAAGACAGUAUAAUGAAAACAAGUUUAAGAAAGAGCAAAAAUAAAAUUUGACUUAUGUAUAUCAAUUGUGAUGAACUGUAAUUAUGCAUUACAUGGAACAAGUCUACACAAUCAGAUAAGAAUUCUUCACUAAUUUCCUCUUUAUUUGUCUAUGUCAUAAUCCACACUAGGGAAGAAACAACCUCUACUUUUUAAAAGUCACAAAUAUUAAGCCUAUAAAAAUAUCAAUAUCUUAUCAAAGUUUAGCUCAAAUUUAUACAGGAAAACAAAGGUUCAUUCCAACCCACCUAGCUUCUUCUGAUGGUUUAUUAAGUAGUAUUUAAGAAAAUUGAGUCUCAUAUUAUCUGGCCAAAAGAUAUUUUUCUUGCCUCUGUAUUAUUAAACAACACUUACUGAGACUAUUCAUCAGAUGUCCAGAUUAAUCUUGACGGUGAAGAAUACAUGAACUCUAUAUGCAAUCUUAAAAAGGAGUAAUAUAAUAUGCUAGUUUUCUCUUUCGUGUCCAUUCCUCAAAACUUGAUUAUUAUUAGGUUAGGCUCAUCCUUUACUAAUUACCUUUAGUUAAGAUUUCUUAGUUUGCAAAAAUUAUUGAAUUUAUAUUGACUUAACUGAAUGAGCAUUUGAAAACUGUCUCUCAUAGUUCAUCAUGAGUACUGAAUUGUUCCUCCUCUUUUUCUUUAAGUUUCUUCUCUUUACUACAUAUUUUUCCCCAACCAGUUAUUUUUGUUGUUGUUAUUUGCUUCUUAAAAAUUCUGUGAGGCUUAUUUUUAGAAUAUUUUAUAAAUCUGGCUAUGUCUAAGAAUGGCAAACUAUGAUAAUUGAUGUACUUAAUAUUUGCUAACACAUGUCUAUUCCACUGUCAAUGAAAAGACUGUGCUUGCUUUGAUCAAGAAUUAGCCAAAAUUUGGAACUCUCAGAAAGCUAUUUAUUUAUUCCAGAACAAAGCAUUUGGUUUGUACUACCAUCAAAAUAUUCUAAGUGGCUAGUUACACUGGUAAAAAAAAUAAGAUAUCUCUUUUGUUCAGGCCUUCAGAAUUUUAACAUCAUACAAAAUCAAUAAAGCUCUUAAAUGUAAA
Molecule: long non-coding RNA, 5082 nt
Filed under: Homo sapiens (human)
Lineage: Eukaryota; Metazoa; Chordata; Mammalia; Primates; Hominidae
Description: HSALNT0380748
Source: RNAcentral